RNAcentral lists this ribosomal RNA (254 nucleotides) under uncultured bacterium. RNAcentral describes it as "partial 16S ribosomal RNA". It matches the Rfam family "Bacterial small subunit ribosomal RNA", at positions 524 to 776 of the family's 1533-position model. The record is from RNAcentral.
UACGGAGGGUGCGAGCGUUGUCCGGAAUCACUGGGCGUAAAGGGCGCGUAGGUGGCGCGGGAAGUCAACGGUGAAAGUUCGGGGCUCAACCCUGAAUCGGCCGUCGAUACUCCCGGGCUCGAGCACUGUAGAGGCAGAUGGAAUUCCGGGUGUAGCGGUGGAAUGCGUAGAGAUCCGGAAGGAACGCCGGUGGCGAAAGCGACGCACUGGAUCUCUUCUGACGCUGAGGCGCGAAAGCCAGGGGAGCAAACGGG